AAAAAGGGCUUCUGUUGUGAGCAACACACGUAGAGCAGCCUGAUUGCUCUACGUGCAGAAUCGACAUCAAGAGAUUUCGGAAGCAUGAUUUUUUGGUACUUGGGCAGCUGGUGAUCGUUGGUCCUGGCGCCCGU
RNAcentral lists this small nuclear RNA (134 nucleotides) under Myotis brandtii (Brandt's bat). RNAcentral describes it as "U11 spliceosomal RNA". It matches the Rfam family "U11 spliceosomal RNA". The record is from Rfam by way of RNAcentral. Lineage: Eukaryota; Metazoa; Chordata; Mammalia; Chiroptera; Vespertilionidae.